UAAGACAGAGGUGCCAAGCGUUAGGCGGAAUCACUGGGCUUAAAGCGUGUGUAGGCGGAUCGUUAAGUACCUUGUGAAAUCCCACGGCUCAACCGUGGAACUGCUGGGUAUACUGGCGAUCUUGAGCCACCUAGGGGCGAGCGGAACAAACGGUGGAGCGGUGAAAUGCGUAGAUAUCGUUUGGAACGCCAAUGGUGAAAACAGCUCGCUGGGGGUGUGCUGACGCUGAGACACGAAAGCCAGGGGAGCGAACGGGAUUAGAUACCCCGGUAGUCCUGGCCCUAAACGAUGUCGACUAGAUCGUAGUGCCUCUGACGGUAUUACGGUCGAAGCAAAAGUGCUAAGUCGACCGCCUGGGAAGUACGGUCGCAAGGCUA
RNAcentral lists this ribosomal RNA (377 nucleotides) under uncultured bacterium. RNAcentral's name for it is "bacterial SSU rRNA". It matches the Rfam family "Bacterial small subunit ribosomal RNA", at positions 521 to 896 of the family's 1533-position model. The record is from RNAcentral.